Molecule: ribosomal RNA, 871 nt
Filed under: Cellulophaga fucicola
Lineage: Bacteria; Pseudomonadati; Bacteroidota; Flavobacteriia; Flavobacteriales; Flavobacteriaceae
Description: bacterial SSU rRNA
Rfam family: Bacterial small subunit ribosomal RNA
Source: RNAcentral
CUCCGCUGACGACCGGCGCACGGGUGCGUAACGCGUAUACAAUCUGCCUUGCACUAAGGGAUAGCCCAGAGAAAUUUGGAUUAAUACCUUAUAGUUUAUUAGAAUGGCAUCAUUUUAAUAAUAAAGAUUACGGUGUAAGAUGAGUAUGCGUCCCAUUAGUUUGUUGGUAAGGUAACGGCUUACCAAGACUACGAUGGGUAGGGGCCCUGAGAGGGGGAUCCCCCACACUGGUACUGAGACACGGACCAGACUCCUACGGGAGGCAGCAGUGAGGAAUAUUGGACAAUGGGCGAGAGCCUGAUCCAGCCAUGCCGCGUGCAGGAAGACGGUCCUAUGGAUUGUAAACUGCUUUUAUACAGGAAGAAUAAGGACUACGUGUAGUCUGGUGACGGUACUGUAAGAAUAAGGACCGGCUAACUCCGUGCCAGCAGCCGCGGUAAUACGGAGGGUCCGAGCGUUAUCCGGAAUUAUUGGGUUUAAAGGGUCCGUAGGCGGGCUAUUAAGUCAGGGGUGAAAGUUUGCAGCUCAACUGUAGAAUUGCCUUUGAUACUGAUAGUCUUGAAUUAUUGUGAAGUGGUUAGAAUAUGUAGUGUAGCGGUGAAAUGCAUAGAUAUUACAUAGAAUACCGAUUGCGAAGGCAGAUCACUAACAAUACAUUGACGCUGAUGGACGAAAGCGUGGGUAGCGAACAGGAUUAGAUACCCUGGUAGUCCACGCCGUAAACGAUGGAUACUAGCUGUUCGGUUUUCGGACUGAGCGGCCAAGCGAAAGUGAUAAGUAUCCCACCUGGGGAGUACGUUCGCAAGAAUGAAACUCAAAGGAAUUGACGGGGGCCCGCACAAGCGGUGGAGCAUGUGGUUUAAUUCGAUGA